UCCGAUAUGCUAACCCCCGACGGUCUUAAGUAUUUAAACCCCCGCCAACCGUGAGGCCAUUGAACUGAAACUUAGUCAGAAGAGAAACCGAAUCCACGUUACGGUAAAAUCGUAAAAUGUGAGGACACCAGUGCGAAGCGGCUUCUGUCUGUAACUGACCUGAGCCCGAAACGGUGGGAGCAAACAGAUUAGAUACCCUGGUAGUCCACGCCGUAACGAUGAGUCCUAAGUGUUAGGGGGUUCCGCCCCUUAGUGCUGCAGUAACGCAUUAAGCACUCCCCCUGGGGAGUACGACCGCAAGGUUGAAACUCAAAGGAAUUGACGGGGGCCCGCACAAGCGGUGGAGCAUGUGGUUUAAUUCGAAGCAACGCGAAGAACCUUACCAGGUCUUGACAUCCCACUGACCGGCUUAGAGAUAGGCUUUUUCCUUCGGGGACAGUGGUGACAGGUGGUGCAUGGUUGUCGUCAGCUCGUGUCGUGAGAUGUUGGGUUAAGUCCCGCAACGAGCGCAACCCUUGAUCUUAGUUGCCAGCAUUCAGUUGGGCACUCUAAGGUGACUGCCGGUGAUAAACCGGAGGAAGGUGGGGAUGACGUCAAAUCAUCAUGCCCCUUAUGACCUGGGCUACACACGUGCUACAAUGGACGAUGCAAAGGGCUGCAAACCCGCGAGGGGGAGCCAAUCCCAUAAAAUCGUUCUCAGUUCGGAUUGUAGGCUGCAACUCGCCUACAUGAAGCCGGAAUCGCUAGUAAUCGUGGAUCAGCAUGCCACGGUGAAUACGUUCCCGGGCCUUGUACACACCGCCCGUCACACCACGAGAGUUUGUAACACCCGAAGUCGGUGAGGUAACCUUUACAGGAGCCAGCCGCCGAAGGUGGGACAGAUGAUUGGGGUGAAGUCGUAACAAGGUAA
This 910-nucleotide ribosomal RNA is filed under the name uncultured Bacillus hs2_43. RNAcentral's name for it is "bacterial SSU rRNA". It matches the Rfam family "Bacterial small subunit ribosomal RNA", at positions 600 to 1499 of the family's 1533-position model. Lineage: Bacteria; Bacillati; Bacillota; Bacilli; Caryophanales; Bacillaceae. The record is from RNAcentral.